This 267-nucleotide long non-coding RNA is filed under the name Dromaius novaehollandiae (emu). Its description in RNAcentral is "lncRNA (ENSDNVG00000012447.1)". Lineage: Eukaryota; Metazoa; Chordata; Aves; Casuariiformes; Dromaiidae. The record is from RNAcentral.
AUGCAUGUGUGUAUUUACGCCUGUCYGUCUUGCUGCAGGGACCACCACUGUUGCUGCUAUUCCUGUUGUUCCCCUGCUCUGCGGAACUGGCGCUGCAGGAGACAAGGAUGCUCCAAGGGAGCCAGCUACAGCCAGCGAAGGCUCAACUGCCGUUCGGAGGACAGGCUACUGCUAGGAGACGAAGACAGAGAACGCAGUAUGUUGGAGUCGGUUCUAAACCCAGCCGUCACUGCUAAACAACCAUAUCUGACUCUUCAGAGCGUCUGA